UCGUAACAAGGUCUCCGUUGGUGAACCAGCGGAGGGAUCAUUACAGAGUUGAAAAACUCCCAAAACCACUGUGGACUAUACCAGUUUUGUUGCUUCGGUGGGUGGCCCCAGGGCGGGGCCGCCGCCUCCUUCGGGAGGCACCUGCCGCAAGCCCUUAAAACUCUUUUGAAUUUUGGUUACAUCUCUGAGUUAGCAUACAAAACGCGAAAAAAACUUUCAACAACGGAUCUCUUGGCUCUAGCAUCGAUGAAGAACGCAGCGAAAUGCGAUAAGUAAUGUGAAUUGCAGAAUUCAGUGAAUCAUCGAAUCUUUGAACGCACAUUGCGCCCGCCAGCAAUCUGGCGGGCAUGCCUGUUCGAGCGUCAUUUCAACCCUCAAGCUCUGCUUGGUGUUGGGGCGCCACGGGGCUUAGGCACCGUGGGCUCUUAAAGUCAGUGGCGGACUCUCUGUGUGUCCGGGCGUAGUAGAGAUAUGUCGCCUGUGGACGCGCUGGGAGAUCCAGCCGUAAAACCCUUACUGCUGUAAAUACAGAAGGUUGACCUCGGAUCAGGUAGGACUACCCGCUGAACUUAAGCAUAUCAAUAAGCGGAGGAAAAGAAACCAACAGGGAUUGCCCCAGUAACGGCGAGUGAAGCGGCAACAGCUCGAAUUUGA
This 654-nucleotide unclassified non-coding RNA is filed under the name Cryptendoxyla hypophloia. RNAcentral describes it as "sequence contains 18S rRNA gene, ITS1, 5.8S rRNA gene, ITS2, 28S rRNA gene". The stretch from base 212 to 365 matches the Rfam family "5.8S ribosomal RNA". Lineage: Eukaryota; Fungi; Ascomycota; Sordariomycetes; Cephalothecales; Cephalothecaceae. The record is from RNAcentral.